GGAUGUGAGGGCGAUCUGGCCGUGACAUCUGCCACGCCAUUGAUCGCCUGGGUUGAUUAGGCUGAUCUGGCUGGCUAGGCGGGUGUCCCCUUCCUCCCUCACCGCUCCCUGUGCGUCCCUCCCAAAGCUGCAUUCUUGGUGGAAGAGGAGGACCUUCCCCAGUAGAGGAGGACCGUUCUUCGAUCAAGGGUAUACAAGUAGCUGCGCUCCCCUGCUAGAACCUCCAAACAUGCUCUAAAGAAAUAUAGAAAGAGGAAAAUACUGGAGGAGUUUGGGGAGGGAGGGGGCCCCUUUCU
Molecule: small nuclear RNA, 296 nt
Filed under: Propithecus coquereli (Coquerel's sifaka)
Lineage: Eukaryota; Metazoa; Chordata; Mammalia; Primates; Indriidae
Description: 7SK RNA (ENSPCOG00000006873.1)
Rfam family: 7SK RNA
About the family: 7SK was discovered as an abundant small nuclear RNA in the mid-70s but a possible function has only recently been suggested. Two independent studies have found that 7SK RNA binds the CDK9/cyclin T complex (known as elongation factor P-TEFb). P-TEFb activates transcription by phosphorylating the C-terminal domain of RNA polymerase II.
Source: RNAcentral